AACUAAGUUUCAACAACGGAUCUCUUGGCUCUCGCAUCGAUGAAGAACGCAGCGAAAUGCGAUAAGUAAUGUGAAUUGCAGAAUUCAGUGAAUCAUCGAAUCUUUGAACGCACCUUGCGCUCCUUGGUAUUCCUUGGAGCAUGCCUGUUUGAGUAUCAUGAAAU
This 164-nucleotide ribosomal RNA is filed under the name Rhizoctonia sp. AG-A. RNAcentral's name for it is "5.8S ribosomal RNA". It matches the Rfam family "5.8S ribosomal RNA". From Rfam's summary of the family: 5.8S ribosomal RNA (5.8S rRNA) is a component of the large subunit of the eukaryotic ribosome. It is transcribed by RNA polymerase I as part of the 45S precursor that also contains 18S and 28S rRNA. Lineage: Eukaryota; Fungi; Basidiomycota; Agaricomycetes; Cantharellales; Ceratobasidiaceae. The record is from RNAcentral.